This is a long non-coding RNA of Syngnathoides biaculeatus (alligator pipefish), 303 nucleotides long. RefSeq lists it as uncharacterized. NCBI's taxonomy places the organism in Eukaryota, Metazoa, Chordata, Actinopteri, Syngnathiformes, Syngnathidae. The record is from RefSeq and is a predicted model, not a curated record. The transcript has 3 exons.
CGACAAUGAUCCUGUAGCGCUCCGGGUCCUGGGCGAUGAGCUUCAGCAUCACCGCCAGCAGGCUGUUAUAACUGCACAAGAGGGAGGUUUUCAGAAAUUGUCAGCAUGUCAAGCUAAUCUGCCAAGUGCCAAGAUCGACAGCAAUUUUCCAUCCUCUGAUUGAGUUCCGAGUCCUGGACUGGGUCCGGGCGACCUUCCUUCACCGCCAGCUUCCUCUCUUUGUCCAUGUAGGCCCCUCGCACCAGCUUCACACCCAGACAGAAGCCUCCUUCUUGGGACUGGCUGAUCGCCUCCUGCAGUAGC